This 1072-nucleotide long non-coding RNA is filed under the name Homo sapiens (human). RNAcentral describes it as "HSALNT0202202". The record is from RNAcentral. Lineage: Eukaryota; Metazoa; Chordata; Mammalia; Primates; Hominidae.
AGUGCAUGUAUGCCUGGCAGUGCGCUGGGGUCAGCAAAGCAGGCAACACUCAGAGGCAAGGUGGUGGCAUCAGGACUCCUCAUGCUAGGCCUGAAUUCUUACUAAAGGAGCAAGCCAUCAUUGCAGAGGAAUUACAACCCGGCCUCUGUUUAAACAGGGGGCUUUUAGGACUACACUGAGCUGCAGGCAGAGCUGUGGGCAGCUGAGUGGGAAAGCACCCAGCGCCUCCAGGGCUUAGCUUGGUUGGGUAAAUGAGGGUUGACUAGCUGGGAAAAAGCCAGCAUUGUGAGGGGCCAACUGUAGGCUGCUGCGGGAGACCCACGAGUGGAACGGGAUCCUGUCGGAACGGUGUGUGUAUUUAUUCUGGCAGCUUCCUUCGUAAAGCCAUGCUAAGCCCCAUCUGGGAUACUGUCAGGCCUCUCUGAAUUAGGACUGAAGCUACUGCCCUAGGAUUGGGCCAAGAAUUUGUGGUAGCCAUGGCAACAGCACCUUCUCCUACCUGAGCAGGAUUUUCUUCAGCGUUCAGGGGAGACCCAAGAGGGCCCAGGGAGACUGAAAACCAAGAAGAACUGAGAACUGGCUGCAACUUUCAAUGUGUUCCCCAACUUUCACACAGACCAAAUUGGUAGAGGGAUGGAGACCUCAUCAGAUGACCCCAGUGCGCUUUCCACUGAACCAUAUGUCAAAGACACUGGAGAAACGUGAGGCCAUGAAGUGAUACUGGAUUCCAGUUGAGUGACAUGUUAUUUUGUGUGCUUCCAAGCUAUAUUGUUGCGGCAGUGUGGCUUAGUAGGAACACAGGUUUGCAUCAGACAGAAUGGGGUUUUAAUCCCAGCUCUCUCUCUUACUAUUUGUGUGAAUUUGACAAGUUAUGCAACUUCUCUGUAUCUUAGUCAAUCCUUGUAAAAUUCCAGUGAAGUAGGCAUUAUUACUGUCCUCAUGUUCUAAAAUGCAGUGGCAUGGAGACUUUUUAAUCUGUAAAAUCUUUUUUUUGGGUGAGGACUAAAAAUUAUAAUUGCUAUAAAGGAUAUACCACAUGGUAGGUGCUUAAUAAAUAGUUUUUUAAGUUUGU